Molecule: non-coding RNA, 114 nt
Organism: Acanthosepion pharaonis
Lineage: Eukaryota; Metazoa; Mollusca; Cephalopoda; Sepiida; Sepiidae
Source: the annotation of a GenBank genome assembly
UUACGGUCAUAUCACGUUGAAACGUCAGUUCCUGUACGAUCACCGAAGUUAAGCAACGUCAAGCCUAGUCAGUUCCUAGAUGGGUGACCACUUGGGAAUAUCAGGUGCUGUAGG